Molecule: ribosomal RNA, 803 nt
Filed under: uncultured archaeon
Lineage: Archaea
Description: bacterial SSU rRNA
Rfam family: Archaeal small subunit ribosomal RNA
Source: RNAcentral
UUCGGCCCUCGGCGUACUGCUCAGUAACACGUGGAUAACCUGCCCUAGGGAAGGGGAUAAUCCCGGGAAACUGGGGAUAAUACCCUAUAGGUUACAGAUGCUGGAAUGCUCUGCAAUCAAAAGUUCCGGCGCCCUAGGAUGGAUCUGCGGCCGAUUAGGUUGUUGUUGGGGUAAUGGCCCAACAAGCCAGUAAUCGGUACGGGUUGUGGGAGCAAGAGCCCGGAGUUGGAUUCUGAGACACGAAUCCAGGCCCUACGGGGCGCAGCAGGCGCGAAAACUUUACAAUGCGGGCAACCGUGAUAAGGGAACCUCGAGUGCCUGUAAAUGCAGGCUGUUCAGAUGCCUAAAACACAUCUGGAGAAAGGGCCGGGCAAGACCGGUGCCAGCCGCCGCGGUAAUACCGGCGGCUCGAGUGGUGGCCACUUUUAUUGGGCUUAAAGCGUUCGUAGCUGGGUUGUUAAGUCUCUUGGGAAAUCUGGCGGCUUAACCGUCAGGCGUCUAAGGGAUACUGGCAAUCUUGGAACCGGGAGAGGUGAGGGGUACUUCGGGGGUAGGAGUGAAAUCCUGUAAUCCUCGAGGGACCACCUGUGGCGAAGGCGCCUCACCAGAACGGCUUCGACAGUGAGGGACGAAAGCUGGGGGAGCAAACCGGAUUAGAUACCCGGGUAGUCCCAGCCGUAAACUAUGCGCGUUAGGUGUAUCGGUGACCACGAGUUACCGAGGUGCCGAAGGGAAACCGUGAAACGUGCCGCCUGGGAAGUACGGUCGCAAGGCUGAAACUUAAAGGAAUUGGCGGGGGAGCA